Non-coding RNA from Cyanistes caeruleus (blue tit), 2131 nucleotides. The record is from RefSeq and is a predicted model, not a curated record. Lineage: Eukaryota; Metazoa; Chordata; Aves; Passeriformes; Paridae.
GGGCCCGUCCCGCACACACGUGCCCGGCCAAGUGCCAAGAUCACAGUCCGAAGGGAGUCGCCCAUGAAGAUUUGUUCAUGCAGCUAAACAAACUUUCAUGGAUAAAGUUCAAAACAGAAAAGAAAGGAUUUUCAAGCAUGGAACAGGCAGCCCAUGGAAGUGGUAAUGAAUACUGUGUAUCCAGACAGCAAUAAACCUUCAGCUGCAGACCACUGACAGAAAUCUAUAGAGCACCAGUUUGGGAAAUCUCAGCUUUAAACUCUAAAUGAUUCAACAUUUGUUCCCUCUGAUGACACCGCGAAUCUGGGAAUGAAGAACUUCUUAGAGCUGAUUGGAAAUGGCAUUGCGGAGCUGAAACUUAACUGGAGGAAAUAUAUCUCCUGAAGAAGAAAAUAUAAUGCACUGUAAGGAUCUGUCUUCUGGUGAAAAAUCCAAGCUUAGAGAAAACUUGUCCACUUUCUUAGGAAGAAUGGGUUGGACAAUUUUCUUCAGUUCCAAAGGAUAUCUGAAUGCCAUGCUGAGCUUAAUCUCUGCAGCAUGCUCUGUGCUUCUCAUCUCUUCCUGAUGCACUGCAUGGUUAUUCUGAAGGGGAAGAUAAAGAAACUGGCCACCAAGAUGGUAAUCACUAGUGGAAAUGAAGAAGAUAAAGGCAGUCAAGAAAAGGAAAGCAAAGAAGAAACCAUCUUGGCAAUGCUUGGAAUUAUUGGGACAAUUCUGAACCUCAUUGUGAUCAUUUUUGUGUAUAUUUAUACAACGUUGUAAACUAGAAGGCAUGCAAAUAGACCAGAUAAAACGGCCAUUAAGAGUGACAACAAACAUUGCCGACUAUUGACAAGUUCUUUAAUCAGAAUUGACUCUGUAUUAUAUUAACACAUCAUAAAAGCACUGCCUGAAGGCAGCGAAGACUGAAGCACAAUUAAUUUAACAAGACUUUUUCACACAGUAAUAAGCUUAACUCUUCUCUCCUGCCCUCUCCCUUUCGGUUUGGUUUUCAGUUUGGGGGAGAAUGACUGCAGUUAUGUAAGUUGUAGCUUUGAAGAAAUCCACCAGGGAUAUGUUGUUUUAACACAACAAAAAGAAAAAAAAAGGAAAAGAAAAAAAAAAGGGAAAAAAGGAAAAGAAACUGUACACUAUAUAUAAUUAGAAAUGUAUGCUGUAUACCCGCAAAGAUUGAACUCAAAGAUAGCUUCAUAGCACAGAUCACGUGUCUGUUAGGUCAAAUGGUUUUUUCUCUUGGUUUUUGCUUUUACUUACAUUGAAUCUGACAAGCUUUUUAUUUAGAAUGAACAUAUGGUGCAAUCAUGAAAAAAACAAUUCCAUUGAGCAAGGUCUGCCUAAACCUGAUAAAAUGUUGGGAGAAAUACAUUACAUGGUUAUUUUUCCUUUCUCAUUUGCUUAACAUCUGUGUCUGUUCAUACCAAUGUUUAUAAAUAUAUAUUUUUAAUAAAUGUGCUAUAUUUUUAGCAUGAACCAAAUAUUUGGAGACACUUGUAUUCAUGCAGCUAAAUUUUGUUUGAUGAAGUGCCCCUUUUGACAAUGGAUGUUAUUUUUCUCAGCAAUUAUACAGCAGUCUUGUUUGCAGCCCUCUCACUGAGGUCUGAAGCAAGCUCACAUCAUGCUCACAUGCAUGACUUGAAGUUGGAAUGUCAGCUGAAAAGCAUUGCUGCUUAAUAUGGGAAAUAGCAAAACAUUUUAAGGUGACCUUUGGAGACUGGUUGCAGAAAGAAGGCUCUAUUUAUAGUUAAAAAAUGAAAAAGCAAAUGAAAGCAAUACUGAAGCAUCUCACAAAAUAUUGCAAAAUUCAUAGAAUUUAUGGCUUUCAGAAUCUGGUCACGCUCUCUAAGUACUUGUGCUGAGAGAAGUGAGCAGAGUUUUAUACAGUUGGAAAGGGAAAUUUAUAGAGCCUAUAGCAAGGGGCUUGAGUGAAAUCCAGACUGUAAAUAUGGGGUGUAUUUUAAAUGUGAGGAUCAUUAACCCUUUAUGCUUCUCUGAUAUGUGCUUUAACUGAGUUGGUGCAGUGAAAUUCUCUGACUUGUGUUUUUGACAGGAAUGUACAAUGAUGAUGAUGACCAUUUUUCUUCAGAGUUCAGUACCUAUAAAUAUAUGAAGCAUUAAAAAAAUGAGACCUCAA